Molecule: transfer RNA, 76 nt
Filed under: bacterium
Lineage: Bacteria
Also listed under: 2 other names
Description: tRNA-Gln
Rfam family: tRNA
About the family: Transfer RNA (tRNA) molecules are approximately 80 nucleotides in length. Their secondary structure includes four short double-helical elements and three loops (D, anti-codon, and T loops).
Source: RNAcentral
UGCCGGAUGGUGUAAUUGGUAACACGCCUGACUCUGGAUCAGGAGACUCUAGGUUCGAGCCCUAGUCUGGCAGCCA